RNAcentral lists this ribosomal RNA (253 nucleotides) under uncultured bacterium. RNAcentral describes it as "partial 16S ribosomal RNA". It matches the Rfam family "Bacterial small subunit ribosomal RNA", at positions 524 to 776 of the family's 1533-position model. The record is from RNAcentral.
UACGGGGGGGGUAAGCGUUGUUCGGAAUUACUGGGCGUAAAGGGCUCGUAGGCGGCCAACUAAGUCAGACGUGAAAUCCCUCAGCUUAACUGGGGAACUGCGUCUGAUACUGGAUGGCUUGGAUUCGGGAGAGGAAUGCGGAAUUCCAGGUGUAGCGGUGAAAUGCGUAGAUAUCUGGAGGAACACCGGUGGCGAAGGCGGCAUCCUGGACCGGCAUUGACGCUGAGGAGCGAAAGCCAGGGGAGCAAACGGG